This 560-nucleotide ribosomal RNA is filed under the name uncultured Alphaproteobacteria bacterium. RNAcentral's name for it is "bacterial SSU rRNA". It matches the Rfam family "Bacterial small subunit ribosomal RNA", at positions 338 to 916 of the family's 1533-position model. Lineage: Bacteria; Pseudomonadati; Pseudomonadota; Alphaproteobacteria. The record is from RNAcentral.
CCUACGGGAGGCAGCAGUGGGGAAUCUUAGACAAUGGGCGCAACCCUGAUCUAGCCAUGCCGCGUGAGUGAUGAAGGCCCUAGGGUCGUAAAGCUCUUUCAACUGUGAAGAUAAUGACGGUAGCAGUAGAAGAAACCCCGGCUAACUCCGUGCCAGCAGCCGCGGUAAUACGGAGGGGGUUAGCGUUGUUCGGAAUUACUGGGCGUAAAGCGUACGUAGGCGGAUUAAUAAGUUAGAGGUGAAAUCCCAGGGCUCAACCCUGGAACUGCCUUUAAAACUGUUAGUCUUGAGAUCGAGAGAGGUGAGUGGAAUUCCAAGUGUAGAGGUGAAAUUCGUAGAUAUUUGGAGGAACACCAGUGGCGAAGGCGGCUCACUGGCUCGAUACUGACGCUGAGGUACGAAAGUGUGGGGAGCAAACAGGAUUAGAUACCCUGGUAGUCCACACCGUAAACGAUGAAUGCCAGACGUCAGCAAGCAUGCUUGUUGGUGUCACACCUAACGGAUUAAGCAUUCCGCCUGGGGAGUACGGUCGCAAGAUUAAAACUCAAAGGAAUUGACGG